GACGAACGCUGGCGGCGUGCUUAACACAUGCAAGUCGAACGGAAAGGCCCUGCUUUUGUGGGGUGCUCGAGGGGCGAACGGGUGAGUAACACGUGAGUAACCUGCCCUUGACUUUGGGAUAACUUCAGGAAACUGGGGCUAAUACCGGAUAGGAGCUCCUGCUGCAUGGUGGGGGUUGGAAAGUUUCGGCGGUUGGGGAUGGACUCGCGGCUUAUCAGCUUGGUGGUGGGGUAGUGGCAUACCAAGGCUUUGACGGGUAGCCGGCCUGAGAGGGUGACCGGCCCCGUUGGGUCUGAGAUACGGCCCAGACUCCUACGGGAGGCAGCGGUGGGGAAUAUUGCACAGUGGGCGGAAGCCUGAUGCAGCACCGCCGCGUGCGGGAUGACGGCCUUCGGGUUGUAAACCGCUUUCGCCUGUGCCGAAGCGUGAGUGACGGUAAUGGGUAAAGAAGCACCGGCUAACUACGUG
RNAcentral lists this ribosomal RNA (468 nucleotides) under uncultured bacterium. Its description in RNAcentral is "partial 16S ribosomal RNA". It matches the Rfam family "Bacterial small subunit ribosomal RNA", at positions 28 to 507 of the family's 1533-position model. The record is from RNAcentral.